This 402-nucleotide long non-coding RNA is filed under the name Monodelphis domestica (gray short-tailed opossum). RNAcentral describes it as "lncRNA (ENSMODG00000033514.2)". Lineage: Eukaryota; Metazoa; Chordata; Mammalia; Didelphimorphia; Didelphidae. The record is from RNAcentral.
CUAUAAUUAGUGAGGGAGCUAUACCUAGAAGCAAAGCCAUAAUUGAAACUGAGAAGUACCUAGAAUAGAUGUUUUUAUGAACUGCUGCUGCCUUUUCUUCUUGCAGCAAGAGAAAGCAAAUCUAAAUUGGAAUAAUAAGGAAUGCCUCUGGAGUCAUGUUGGAGAGUUCAUACAGUGUAUUGUCUUGCUGUGCUCACCUUGAAUGCUUAUUUUAAAAGACAAUUAGCCAACUGUAGCAACCAGAAGCCCCUGAAAGAAAUCUUGUUUGCAACCAGAGUGAGGGAAAAGAGAGGAGAGGAGAAGAAAAAGGAAAGGAAAAGUGCCAAUACCAGUUGUGGGAGAGCCAAAUCCAGUCUUCACCAGAGUAAGUGGCACUCUGAGCCUCAACUCCACUCAAGCUAG